RNAcentral lists this ribosomal RNA (492 nucleotides) under uncultured bacterium. RNAcentral describes it as "partial 16S ribosomal RNA". It matches the Rfam family "Bacterial small subunit ribosomal RNA", at positions 29 to 507 of the family's 1533-position model. The record is from RNAcentral.
AGUGAACGCUGGCGGUAGGCCUAACACAUGCAAGUCGAACGGCAGCACAGUAAGAGCUUGCUCUUACGGGUGGCGAGUGGCGGACGGGUGAGGAAUACAUCGGAAUCUACUUUUUCGUGGGGGAUAACGUAGGGAAACUUACGCUAAUACCGCAUACGACCUACGGGUGAAAGCAGGGGAUCUUCGGACCUUGCGCGAUUGAAUGAGCCGAUGUCGGAUUAGCUAGUUGGCGGGGUAAAGGCCCACCAAGGCGACGAUCCGUAGCUGGUCUGAGAGGAUGAUCAGCCACACUGGAACUGAGACACGGUCCAGGCUCCUACGGGAGGCAGCAGUGGGGAAUAUUGGACAAUGGGCGCAAGCCUGAUCCAGCCAUACCGCGUGGGUGAAGAAGGCCUUCGGGUUGUAAAGCCCUUUUGCUGGGAAAGAAAAGCAGCAGGUUAAUACCCCGCUGUUCUGACGGUACCCAAAGAAUAAGCACCGGCUAACUUCGUG